This is an RNA transcript of Diachasma alloeum, 755 nucleotides long. RefSeq lists it as uncharacterized. NCBI's taxonomy places the organism in Eukaryota, Metazoa, Arthropoda, Insecta, Hymenoptera, Braconidae. The record is from RefSeq and is a predicted model, not a curated record. The transcript has 3 exons.
UAAAUAUGACAGCAGUACCGGAUUUCACAGCCGAGUCAGCGAAAGGCUACGAGAGGAAUGGAUUGGCCGUUGCUGGAGUUGCCUGUCCAUUACCUGUCCAUGGGUCCUGCCGAAUUUGAUUGAUGGAGGGACGAGGGGGUGGUGUUACUGUUGCAAAUGGAUUCGCUGAAAAUGUGAAUCCGGAGGUACUCGGCGACGACAUUGUCGUGGCUGGGGCCAGAGCCCAUGGAUCCACGGUACGAGGUGGUGAAGCUAUAGUGGCCGGCGAGGGGGCUGGAGCUCGCCAAGGAUCGACUGCUGCUGCUGCAAAGUCAUCAUCUGCUUUGAAUUAGUCCGUUAAAAGUAGACAGAAAACUGAAUUUAAUAGAAUUUAGGUGUUCCAACAAUUUUUUCUCAACUUUUAGGUUUAUGAAUUUACCUGACGAUCUUACGAAUACAUGCAGUAUACAAGAAGAAAAAAAAUUUAAUAACAAAGAUGUAUCUAAUUCUAUUUUUCAAUAAUUAAUUUCAGUAGUGAAGUAGUAAGAACCGAAUGCAUUAUGAGACUAGAACAAAUUCACAGAUUUCUUUGUCAUUUUCGAAAUACGUCCGGAAACUUGAAGAGGAUAAAAAGACGUAGAAAAGGAAUGUCCAAAACAAUUUCGAUAGAAAAUUGCACGAACUAAAGCUGAAUUCUGAAAAUAUUUCCGUAUUAUAUUGAAAAUUAAAAAAUUAUGAUGUUUUAUGGCAUAAAAUUGAAUAAGAUUUAUAUAAUA